UUAUACCCAAGCUCGGUUUUUUAUUAGAUGACCCAACUCCUAAAGAUUAAACUUCCAAUCUAAUCCAUAACAGAAGCAUUGAAAAAUGGCUCAAACAUUUCCUCUUUAACCCAAGCCUAUGUACCUGGUUUUAUGCCUGCCUCCCCAAAAUGAUGUUGUCUUAAAGAGGUUAAAUAAGAGUUCCCAAGUCUAUAUGCCUUGUUUUAUGCAUGGCUCCCAAAAAUGACACUGUUUUAAAUAGUUUAAUAAAGACUUCCCAGCCUCGACGACGACUUCCCCCAUUUCUUCUUUUUCACUCUGCAACACAAAAAAGGUUAUGAUAAGAUUAGCACAAAACAGAUGCUGAAGGAGACCAACGAUGAAGGAGAGAAAAGAGAAGAUAAGGAGGGAUCGACACUAAAGGAGACCAAAGUCAAGAAUGGAAAUCAUGAAAGACGUAUUACCUUUUCUUCCUUUUUAGCCAUUCUUCAUUGACAACAUUUGGCUUGAAGAAGGCAGAAGAUGCAAAAUCAAGCUUUGAAGAACAUUGAAAUCCAAGAGAGUAGUAGAGAAAGACUCGGCCUCCUUGAACGAUAAAAGGAGGUGAUCCAAGAGCUAAUGAAGAGGAUUGAAAAAAGACUCUUUAGAAAAUAAAAAAGAAAG
This 642-nucleotide long non-coding RNA is filed under the name Carica papaya (papaya). RNAcentral's name for it is "long non-coding RNA (CPAP_LNC009885)". The record is from RNAcentral. Lineage: Eukaryota; Viridiplantae; Streptophyta; Magnoliopsida; Brassicales; Caricaceae.